UACGAAGGGUGCAAGCGUUACUCGGAAUUACUGGGCGUAAAGCGUGCGUAGGUGGCGCGUUAAGUCUGUCGUGAAAGCCCCGGGCUCAACCUGGGAAUGGCGAUGGAUACUGGCGCGCUAGAGUGCGGUAGAGGAGAGUGGAAUUCCCGGUGUAGCAGUGAAAUGCGUAGAGAUCGGGAGGAACAUCAGUUGCGAAGGCGACUUCCUGGCCUGUUCUUGACGCUGAGGCGCGAAAGCUAGGGUAGCAAACGGG
Molecule: ribosomal RNA, 253 nt
Filed under: uncultured bacterium
Lineage: Bacteria
Description: partial 16S ribosomal RNA
Rfam family: Bacterial small subunit ribosomal RNA
Source: RNAcentral